CUGCACAUCGGACUCUGUAUCGGUACCCCCUGUAUAUAGUCUCCACAUUGACUCUGUAUCGGUACCCCCUGUAUAUAGUCUCCACAUUGACUCUGUACCGGUACCCCCUGUAUAUAGUCUCCACAUUGACUCUGUAUCGGUACCCCCUGUAUAUAGUCUCCACAUUGACUCUGUAUCGGUACCCCCUGUAUAUAGUCUCCACAUUGACUCUGUAUCGGUACCCCCUGUAUAUAGUCUCCACAUUGACUCUGUACCGGUACCCCCUGUAUAUAGCCUCCACAUUGACUCUGUACCGGUACCCCCUGUAUAUAGUCUCCUCAUUGACUCUGUACCGGUACCCCCUGUAUAUAGUCUCCACAUUGACUCUGUAUCGGUACCCCCUGUAUAUAGUCUGCACAUCGGACUCUGUAUCGGUACCCCCUGUAUAUAGUCUCCACAUUGACUCUGUAUCGGUACCCCCUGUAUAUAGUCUCCACAUUGACUCUGUAUCGGUACCCCCUGUAUAUAGUCUCCACAUUGACUCUGUAUCGGUACCCCCUGUAUAUAGUCUCCACAUUGACUCAGUAUCGGUACCCCCUGUAUAUAGUCUCCACAUUGACUCUGUAUCGGUACCCCCUGUAUAUAGUCUCCACCUUGACUCUGUAUCGGUACCCCCUGUAUAUAGUCUCCACAUCGGACUCUGUAUCGGUACCCCCUGUAUAUAGCGGCGCUAUUGUUAUUUACAGCUGCUCUUUAAUGUGUUAUUCUUACUGCAUUGUUGGUUAAGGCCUUGUAAGUAAGCAUUUCACUGUAAGGUUGUGUUCGGCGCAUGUGACAAAUACAAUUUGAUUUGAUUUAUAAAGUGACGCAGAAGGGCAAGCUGUUCUAUGAGUGGUCAGAGCAGGCGUUAGAUUACAAGCUUUUCUACGAGUGGUCAGAGCAGGCGUUAGAUUACAAGCUGUUCUACGAGUGGUCAGAGCAGGCGUUAGAUUACAAGCUGUUCUACGAGUGGUCAGAGCAGGCGUUAGAUUACAAGCUGUUCUACGAGUGGUCAGAUGCAGGCGUUAGAUUACAAGCUGUUCUACGAGUGGUCAGAUGCAGGCGUUAGAUUACAAGCUUUUCUACGAGUGGUCAGAGCAGGCGUUAGAUUAUAAGCUGUUCUACGAGUGGUCAGAGCAGGCCUUAGAUUACAAGCUGUUCUACGAGUGGUCAGAGCAGGCGUUAGAUUACAAGCUUUUCUACGAGUGGUCAGAGCAGGCGUUAGAUUACAAGCUGUUCUACGAGUGGUCAGAUGCAGGCGUUAGAUUACAAGCUUUUUUAUGUGCAAAGUUAAUAACGAUGGCUUUAGGAAACAGCUUGGAGAUUUAACGAUGAAUUUAGCCUUAAGAUGCAUUUGGGAAACUAUGCCCUGUGCUACAUUUAGGUCAGGGAUGUGCCCUUACCCUUACCCAGGUCCUGCUUCCUGUCCGCCCAAUCUGAACCCUACCUUCCCAUCUACUUCCUUGCUCAACUCUAAUCCUAGUUUCAGAUUUACUUCCUGACUCAAUCCUAACCCUAGCUCAUUCUUACAUAGGACACUGAGGGUGAAUUGUAAUUAUGGAUCCCCAUUCGUUCCUGCCUAGGCAGCAGCUACUCUUUAUGGGGUCAAGCAACAUUAUAGCAGUUAUAUACAAUUUUAAUGUUUAUUAAUAUGACAUUACAUUUUAUAAUACUUUUCACAACACAUUAAGUGUGUUCCCUCGGGCCAGUAUUCUACUAUCACAUAUCUACAAUACAAACUAUGUACAUGUGUGUGUAGAGUCCAUGUCUUAUCAUGUGUGUGUGUGUGUGUGUGUGUGUGUUGUCUCUUCACAGUCCCCGCUGUUCCAUAAGGUGUAUUUUUAUCUUUAUUCAUGUUUUACCGUGUCAAGUGAUGAUGAUACCAGACAGCUGCGUCUAGGUUUUUUUAUUUAUUUUUUAUUUAACCUUAAUUUAACUAGGCAAGUCAGUUAAGAACAAAUUCUUAUUUACAAUGACGGCCUACCAAAAGGCAAAAGACCUCCUGCGGGAACGGGGGCUGGGAUUAUAAAAUAUAUAUAAAUAAAUAUAGGACAAAACACA
This 2079-nucleotide long non-coding RNA is filed under the name Salmo salar (Atlantic salmon). Its description in RNAcentral is "lncRNA (ENSSSAG00000088951.1)". The record is from RNAcentral. Lineage: Eukaryota; Metazoa; Chordata; Actinopteri; Salmoniformes; Salmonidae.